UACGUAGGGGGCUAGCGUUGUCCGGAAUCAUUGGGCGUAAAGAGCGUGUAGGCGGCCCGGUAAGUCCGCUGUAAAAGUCAAAGGCUCAACCUUUGAAUGUCAGUGGAUACUGCCGGGCUAGAGUCCGGAAGAGGCGAGUGGAACUCCUGGUGUAGCGGUGGAAUGCGCAGAUAUCGGGAAGAACACCCGUGGCGAAGGCGGCUCUCUGGGACGGUACUGACGCUGAGACGCGAAAGCGUGGGGAGCGAACAGG
RNAcentral lists this ribosomal RNA (253 nucleotides) under uncultured bacterium. RNAcentral describes it as "partial 16S ribosomal RNA". It matches the Rfam family "Bacterial small subunit ribosomal RNA", at positions 524 to 776 of the family's 1533-position model. The record is from RNAcentral.